RNAcentral lists this microRNA (22 nucleotides) under Homo sapiens (human). Its description in RNAcentral is "hsa-miR-3179". Lineage: Eukaryota; Metazoa; Chordata; Mammalia; Primates; Hominidae. The record is from miRBase by way of RNAcentral.
AGAAGGGGUGAAAUUUAAACGU